GAUGAACGCUGGCGGCGUGCCUAAUACAUGCAAGUCGAGCGAACGGACGAGAAGCUUGCUUUUCUGAUGUUAGCGGCGGACGGGUGAGUAACACGUGGAUAACCUACCUAUAAGACUGGGAUAACUUCGGGAAACCGGAGCUAAUACCGGAUAAUAUUUUGAACCGCAUGGUUCAAAAGUGAAAGACGGUCUUGCUGUCACUUAUAGAUGGAUCCGCGCUGCAUUAGCUAGUUGGUAAGGUAACGGCUUACCAAGGCAACGAUGCAUAGCCGACCUGAGAGGGUGAUCGGCCACACUGGAACUGGGACACGGUCCAGACUCCUACGGGAGGCAGCAGUAGGGAAUCUUCCGCAAUGGGCGAAAGCCUGACGGAGCAGCGCCGCGUGAGUGAUGAAGGUCUUCGGAUCGUAAAACUCUGUUAUUAGGGAAGAACAUAUGUGUAAGUAACUGUGCACAUCUUGACGGUACCUAAUCAGAAAGCCACGGCUAGCUACGUG
Molecule: ribosomal RNA, 497 nt
Filed under: uncultured bacterium
Lineage: Bacteria
Description: partial 16S ribosomal RNA
Rfam family: Bacterial small subunit ribosomal RNA
Source: RNAcentral